GGCAACUAAUACAAUUCUAAAAACCCCUAACACAAUUAGGUUGCGUUGUUUCAUCACGGAGUUCCUAUGGCCACCUCCUGUCUCCAUCAUCAGAUCAGCUCGAUGGUACCAUAAUAUUGCAUUGUCAUCCGAUUUAUACAUUCAUGCAAAAUUUCAGCUCAAUCGGAAACCGGGAAGUGGAUCAAAUUUAACUUGCAAGAUUUGAUUACAGAGAGACAACGACAACGGGGC
Molecule: long non-coding RNA, 231 nt
Organism: Cydia fagiglandana
Lineage: Eukaryota; Metazoa; Arthropoda; Insecta; Lepidoptera; Tortricidae
Exons: 3
Source: RefSeq, a predicted model, not a curated record